RNAcentral lists this ribosomal RNA (602 nucleotides) under Clostridioides difficile. RNAcentral describes it as "bacterial SSU rRNA". It matches the Rfam family "Bacterial small subunit ribosomal RNA", at positions 840 to 1441 of the family's 1533-position model. Lineage: Bacteria; Bacillati; Bacillota; Clostridia; Peptostreptococcales; Peptostreptococcaceae. The record is from RNAcentral.
UCGGUGCCGCAGCUAACGCAUUAAGUACUCCGCCUGGGAAGUACGCUCGCAAGAGUGAAACUCAAAGGAAUUGACGGGGACCCGAACAAGUAGCGGAGCAUGUGGUUUAAUUCGAAGCAACGCGAAGAACCUUACCUAAGCUUGACAUCCCAAUGACAUCUCCUUAAUCGGAGAGUUCCCUUCGGGGACAUUGGUGACAGGUGGUGCAUGGUUGUCGUCAGCUCGUGUCGUGAGAUGUUGGGUUAAGUCCCGCAACGAGCGCAACCCUUGUCUUUAGUUGCCAUCAUUAAGUUGGGCACUCUAGAGAGACUGCCAGGGAUAACCUGGAGGAAGGUGGGGAUGACGUCAAAUCAUCAUGCCCCUUAUGCUUAGGGCUACACACGUGCUACAAUGGGUAGUACAGAGGGUUGCCAAGCCGUAAGGUGGAGCUAAUCCCUUAAAGCUACUCUCAGUUCGGAUUGUAGGCUGAAACUCGCCUACAUGAAGCUGGAGUUACUAGUAAUCGCAGAUCAGAAUGCUGCGGUGAAUGCGUUCCCGGGUCUUGUACACACCGCCCGUCACACCACGGGAGUUGGAGACGCCCGAAGCCGAUUAUCUAACCU